This 483-nucleotide ribosomal RNA is filed under the name uncultured bacterium. RNAcentral's name for it is "partial 16S ribosomal RNA". It matches the Rfam family "Bacterial small subunit ribosomal RNA", at positions 30 to 507 of the family's 1533-position model. The record is from RNAcentral.
AUUGAACGCUGGCGGCAGGCCUAACACAUGCAAGUCGAGCGGAUGAAGGGAGCUUGCUCCUGGAUUCAGCGGCGGACGGGUGAGUAAUGCCUAGGAAUCUGCCUGGUAGUGGGGGAUAACGUCCGGAAACGGGCGCUAAUACCGCAUACGUCCUGAGGGAGAAAGUGGGGGAUCUUCGGACCUCACGCUAUCAGAUGAGCCUAGGUCGGAUUAGCUAGUUGGUGGGGUAAAGGCCUACCAAGGCGACGAUCCGUAACUGGUCUGAGAGGAUGAUCAGUCACACUGGAACUGAGACACGGUCCAGCCUCCUACGGAGGGCAGCAGUGGGGAAUAUUGGACAAUGGGCGAAAGCCUGAUCCAGCCAUGCCGCGUGUGUGAAGAAGGUCUUCGGAUUGAAAGCACUUUAAGUUGGGAGGAAGGGCAGUAAGUUAAUACCUUGCUGUUUUGACGUUACCAACAGAAUAAGCACCGGCUAACUUCGUG